RNAcentral lists this non-coding RNA (148 nucleotides) under Gorilla gorilla gorilla (western lowland gorilla). Lineage: Eukaryota; Metazoa; Chordata; Mammalia; Primates; Hominidae. The record is from Rfam by way of RNAcentral.
GCCGGGAGUGGUGGCGCAUGCCUGUAAUCCCAGCUACUCGGGAGGCUGAGGUAGGAGAAUUGCUUGAACCCAGGAGGCAGAGAUUGCAGUGAGCCGAGAUUGCGCCACUGCACUCCAGCCUGGGUGACAGAGUGAGACUCCAUCUCAA